AAUAGUUGCGUAAAAUUUAUAUUUAUAUGAUUGAUCCUAUCUCCACUACCUAAGCACCACACGAGCAUGAAUGGCAACGUAAGUUAAGUUAAACAUGAUUAAUCAUUCAUCGCGUUUGGACACGAUGAAUGAUUCACCAGGUUCUAUUAUUUUUCUACCAAAAUAUUAUUUAACAUUUAGGAAGGAUUCUGUGAACAAAUCACGCUCAUGUAGCAUUCACGUGACGCUUGCGUAGCGGGAAUAGGGUCAAACUUAUAAAUAUAAAUUUGGCUAAAUUACAUAAAACCUUCCUGUAAUAACUCGCUUUUUCACUUUUCCUCCCUGAUAUUUAAAAACCUACACUUUGCUCCCUUGUAAAAUAAAAAAUGUGCACUUCACCCCCUACCGUUAGGGUUCCGUUAUAAAAUAUUUUUUUAUACCGAAAAUACCCCUCCGCCCUCUUCCUUGUUGCUUCGCCUCCCUCUGGCUCGCUGCCUCGCCGCUGCCUCGCCGUCCUCCACUGCCUUACCCUCGCCCACAUCCCCUUCGCCCUCCUCCGCCGCCUCGCCUUCACCCUCAUUGCUCUUGUCUAUCUCUCCAUCAACACUCACCUCGAUUUCCUCUCUAUUAUCGUCGAAAUCGAGGGGCGGCGAGGGUGCAAGAGGAGAAGGGGAGCAGGUAGAGAAGGAAAUGGAGAGAAAUCGCGGCCGAUUGAGGUGGGAAUCGCGGCCGAUCGAAGGGGCGACUGAGGAAGAUGAGGAAGAAGACGAAAAUGGCGAGGGGCAAAAUAGUCAUUUUACACACCGUAACCCCUUGUGAACAUUUUUUAUUUUACAAGGGGGCAAAAUAUAGGUUUUUAAAUGUCAGGGAGAGAAAGUGAAAAAACGGAUUAUUACAGGAGGAUUUUUUGUAAUUUAGCCUAUAAAUUUUGUAGGACUGUUUAUGAAAUUUUUUUUUUUCUGAGGCG
This 946-nucleotide long non-coding RNA is filed under the name Ananas comosus (pineapple). RNAcentral's name for it is "long non-coding RNA (ACOM_LNC010686)". The record is from RNAcentral. Lineage: Eukaryota; Viridiplantae; Streptophyta; Magnoliopsida; Poales; Bromeliaceae.